UGCCAGACUCCUACGGGAGGCAGCAGUGGGGAAUAUUGCACAAUGGGGGAAACCCUGAUGCAGCGACGCCGCGUGAGCGAUGAAGUAUUUCGGUAUGUAAAGCUCUAUCAGCAGGGAAGAAAAUGACGGUACCUGACUAAGAAGCCCCGGCUAACUACGUGCCAGCAGCCGCGGUAAUACGUAGGGGGCAAGCGUUAUCCGGAUUUACUGGGUGUAAAGGGAGCGUAGACGGUCCUGCAAGCCAGAUGUGAAAGCCCGGGGCUCAACCGCGGAACUGCUUUGGAAACUUUUUUGCUGGAGUACCGGAGAGGUAAGCGGAAUUCCUAGUGUAGCGGUGAAAUGCGUAGAUAUUAGGAGGAACACCAGUGGCGAAGGCGGCCUGCUGGACUGCAACUGACGUUGAGGCUCGAAGGCGUGGGGAGCAAACAGGAUUAGAUACCCUUGUAA
This 447-nucleotide ribosomal RNA is filed under the name uncultured bacterium. RNAcentral's name for it is "bacterial SSU rRNA". It matches the Rfam family "Bacterial small subunit ribosomal RNA", at positions 329 to 793 of the family's 1533-position model. The record is from RNAcentral.